AUGGCGCCGCAGCAGAAGGUGGUCGUGAAGGUCUCUUCUAUGAGCGACGAGAGGGUGAAGCAGAAAGCCAUGGAAACGGUUGCAGACAUCUAUGGCAUCGAUUCCAUAGCCGCGGACCACAAGGAUCAGAAGAUGACGGUGAUAGGUGAUAUGGACAGCGUCGUGAUCGCGAAGAAGCUGCGGAAGUUUGGGAGGAUCGAUAUCCUAUCCGUUGGGCCGGCGAAAGAAGAGAAGAAGGAUGAUAAGAAAGGGGAGAAGAAGUGA
Molecule: ribosomal RNA, 264 nt
Filed under: Triticum aestivum (bread wheat)
Lineage: Eukaryota; Viridiplantae; Streptophyta; Magnoliopsida; Poales; Poaceae
Description: partial small subunit ribosomal RNA
Source: RNAcentral